GGCCCUGUAGCUCAGGGGAUAGAGCAACGGUUUCCUAAACCGUGUGUCGGAGGUUCGAAUCCUCCCAGGGUCG
Molecule: transfer RNA, 73 nt
Filed under: Luteococcus japonicus
Lineage: Bacteria; Bacillati; Actinomycetota; Actinomycetes; Propionibacteriales; Propionibacteriaceae
Also listed under: 1 other name
Description: tRNA-Arg
Rfam family: tRNA
About the family: Transfer RNA (tRNA) molecules are approximately 80 nucleotides in length. Their secondary structure includes four short double-helical elements and three loops (D, anti-codon, and T loops). Further hydrogen bonds mediate the characteristic L-shaped molecular structure. tRNAs have two regions of fundamental functional importance: the anti-codon, which is responsible for specific mRNA codon recognition, and the 3' end, to which the tRNAs corresponding amino acid is attached (by aminoacyl-tRNA synthetases). tRNAs cope with the degeneracy of the genetic code in two manners: having more than one tRNA (with a specific anti-codon) for a particular amino acid; and 'wobble' base-pairing, i.e. permitting non-standard base-pairing at the 3rd anti-codon position.
Source: RNAcentral